This 210-nucleotide unclassified non-coding RNA is filed under the name uncultured fungus. RNAcentral's name for it is "sequence contains ITS1". The record is from RNAcentral. Lineage: Eukaryota; Fungi.
UUAUUUGAUUAUAAUAAUUGACAUUUUUUACAGAGUAAGUUUGUGUGAUGCAAGUCCAGGGGCCGAAGCCGAUGGGCCUUGACAGACAGUUCACAGGUGUUAUGGAUGUGAGUCCAGGGCCGAGCACGAGGGCUCGACCCCUACCCUCGGCCUUGCGGCUUUGGGAAAUUUGAUUCACUAAUGAUCCUUCCGCAGGUUCACCUACGGAAA